GAGAGAGUAACUGAUAACCUAAAAGAUUGCUAGUCUUCUAGAACCGCAGUUAAAAUCUGCGGCUCACUCG
Molecule: transfer RNA, 70 nt
Filed under: Congriscus sp. Tht2
Lineage: Eukaryota; Metazoa; Chordata; Actinopteri; Anguilliformes; Congridae
Description: tRNA-Ser (AGY)
Source: RNAcentral